This 492-nucleotide ribosomal RNA is filed under the name uncultured bacterium. RNAcentral describes it as "partial 16S ribosomal RNA". It matches the Rfam family "Bacterial small subunit ribosomal RNA", at positions 29 to 507 of the family's 1533-position model. The record is from RNAcentral.
AGUGAACGCUGGCGGUAGGCCUAACACAUGCAAGUCGAACGGCAGCACAGUAAGAGCUUGCUCUUACGGGUGGCGAGUGGCGGACGGGUGAGGAAUACAUCGGAAUCUACUUUUUCGUGGGGGAUAACGUAGGGAAACUUACGCUAAUACCGCAUACGACCUACGGGUGAAAGCAGGGGAUCUUCGGACCUUGCGCGAUUGAAUGAGCCGAUUUCGGAUUAGCUAGUUGGCGGGGUAAAGGCCCCCCAAGGCGACGAUCCGUAGCUGGUCUGAGAGGAUGAUCAGCCACACUGGAACUGAAACACGGUCCAGACUCCUACGGGAGGCAGCAGUGGGGAAUAUUGGACAAUGGGCGCAAGCCUGAUCCAGCCAUACCGCGUGGGUGAAGAAGGCCUUCGGGUUGUAAAGCCCUUUUGUUGGGAAAGAAAAGCAGCAGGUUAAUACCCCGCUGUUCUGACGGUACCCAAAGAAUAAGCACCGGCUAACUUCGUG